GACGAACGCUGGCGGCGUGCUUAACACAUGCAAGUCGAACGCUGAAGCUCAGCUUUUGUUGGGUGGAUGGGUGGCGAACGGGUGAGUAACACGUGAGUAACCUGCCCCCUUCUUUGGGAUAACGCCCGGAAACGGGUGCUAAUACUGGAUAUUCACUGGUCCUCGCAUGGGGGUUGGUGGAAAGGGUUUUUCUGGUGGGGGAUGGGCUCGCGGCCUAUCAGCUUGUUGGUGGGGUGAUGGCCUACCAAGGCUUUGACGGGUAGCCGGCCUGAGAGGGUGACCGGUCACAUUGGGACUGAGAUACGGCCCAGACUCCUACGGGAGGCAGCAGUGGGGAAUAUUGCACAAUGGGCGCAAGCCUGAUGCAGCGACGCCGCGUGAGGGAUGGAGGCCUUCGGGUUGUGAACCUCUUUCGCUCAUGGUCAAGCCGCAACAAUGGUUGUGGUGAGGGUAGUGGGUAAAGAAGCGCCGGCUAACUACGUG
This 483-nucleotide ribosomal RNA is filed under the name uncultured bacterium. RNAcentral describes it as "partial 16S ribosomal RNA". It matches the Rfam family "Bacterial small subunit ribosomal RNA", at positions 28 to 507 of the family's 1533-position model. The record is from RNAcentral.